UUAACGUUUUUUUGGAUAUUCAGU
RNAcentral lists this non-coding RNA (24 nucleotides) under Arabidopsis thaliana (thale cress). The record is from RNAcentral. Lineage: Eukaryota; Viridiplantae; Streptophyta; Magnoliopsida; Brassicales; Brassicaceae.